GACGAACGCUGGCGGCGUGCCUAACACAUGCAAGUCGAACGGAAAGGCCCUGCUUUUGUGGGGUGCUCGAGUGGCGAACGGGUGAGUAACACGUGAGUAACCUGCCCUUGACUUUGGGAUAACUUCAGGAAACUGGGGCUAAUACCGGAUAGGAGCUCCUGCUGCAUGGUGGGAGUUGGAAAGUUUCGGCGGUUGGGGAUGGACUCGCGGCUUAUCAGCUUGUUGGUGGGGUAGUGGCUUACCAAGGCUUUGACGGGUAGCCGGCCUGAGAGGGUGACCGGCCACAUUGGGACUGAGAUACGGCCCAGACUCCUACGGGAGGCAGCAGUGGGGAAUAUUGCACAAUGGGCGGAAGCCUGAUGCAGCAACGCCGCGUGCGGGAUGACGGCCUUCGGGUUGUAAACCGCUUUCGCCUGUGACGAAGCGUGAGUGACGGUAAUGGGUAAAGAAGCACCGGCUAACUACGUG
Molecule: ribosomal RNA, 468 nt
Filed under: uncultured bacterium
Lineage: Bacteria
Description: partial 16S ribosomal RNA
Rfam family: Bacterial small subunit ribosomal RNA
Source: RNAcentral